CUUACAUGUUGAUACUUCCUUCCCCGCCUAUCACUCUGGAUUAGUGGAUUUAGAUACCUCGUCCAAUCCAGAUUUUGAGUCAGUCUGUAUCCAUCCUCUCCUUGCCCAACAAUUGGUUUCCAACCUUUUGAUGAGUCAAUUCUGGAACUCGAUUUCGAAUCCAUCCUCCCCUUUUACAGGCGGACCACCUUACUCCACUAAAGAACUUCUAAUUUGGGAGCUCCAGUUCCCCCACAGCUAUUUCACAAAAAAGAUUUAACUGUUUUGAGUAGAAUUAGA
This 279-nucleotide long non-coding RNA is filed under the name Gossypium barbadense (sea-island cotton). RNAcentral's name for it is "long non-coding RNA (GBAR_LNC016798)". The record is from RNAcentral. Lineage: Eukaryota; Viridiplantae; Streptophyta; Magnoliopsida; Malvales; Malvaceae.